This 18-nucleotide small nuclear RNA is filed under the name Arabidopsis thaliana (thale cress). RNAcentral describes it as "snRNA_03283". Lineage: Eukaryota; Viridiplantae; Streptophyta; Magnoliopsida; Brassicales; Brassicaceae. The record is from RNAcentral.
UGGCGGCCUAAGCCCGGG